AUUAACAAAGCUAAUUAAAAUUUAUUCAUUAACAAAGCUAAUUAAAAACUCUAUUUCUUUUUUAUUUUAAAAAUUGGUUAUUAAAGAUGACAGUUGGGGCUGCUAUUGUGUUGUUGAUGGAAAAUUUUCUCAAUAUGUCGACCUUUUCAAGGACACAAAGAAAUAUUAUAUAACAGUUUUUAAAAGAGAUGUUUUGGAAUUUAAAUGUAUUUUUAUUAUUAUUAAUGAGAAAUGAAUUAACUUAAUUCUUUUAAAAACAUUUUAAAUUCUAUUUAAAAAAAGUACCAAA
Molecule: long non-coding RNA, 289 nt
Filed under: Ananas comosus (pineapple)
Lineage: Eukaryota; Viridiplantae; Streptophyta; Magnoliopsida; Poales; Bromeliaceae
Description: long non-coding RNA (ACOM_LNC018931)
Source: RNAcentral